UGGCGGCAUGCCUAACACAUGCAAGUCGAACGCCCCGCAAGGGGAGUGGCAGACGGGUGAGUAACGCGUGGGAACGUGCCCUUCGGUUCGGAAUAACUCAGGGAAACUUGAGCUAAUACCGGAUACGUCCGUAAGGAGAAAGAUUUAUUGCCGAAGGAUCGGCCCGCGUCGGAUUAGCUAGUUGGUGAGGUAACGGCCCACCAAGGCGACGAUCCGUAGCUGGUCUGAGAGGAUGAUCAGCCACACUGGGACUGAGACACGGCCCAGACUCCUACGGGAGGCAGCAGUGGGGAAUAUUGGACAAUGGGCGAAAGCCUGAUCCAGCCAUGCCGCGUGAGUGAAGAAGGCCUUAGGGUUGUAAAGCUCUUUCAGCGGGGAAGAUAAUGACGGUACCCGCAGAAGAAGCCCCGGCUAACUUCGUGCCAGCAGCCGCGGUAAUACGAAGGGGGCUAGCGUUGUUCGGAUUUACUGGGCGUAAAGCGCGCGUAGGCGGAUCACUAAGUCAGGGGUGAAAUCCCGAGGCUUAACCUCGGAACUGCCUUUGAUACUGGUGAUCUGGAGAUCGGGAGAGGUUGGUGGAAUUCCGAGUGUAGAGGUGAAAUUCGUAGAUAUUCGGAGGAACACCAGAAGCGAAGGCGGCCAACUGGCCCGAUACUGACGCUGAGGCGCGAAAGCGU
RNAcentral lists this ribosomal RNA (677 nucleotides) under uncultured soil bacterium. RNAcentral's name for it is "bacterial SSU rRNA". It matches the Rfam family "Bacterial small subunit ribosomal RNA", at positions 37 to 762 of the family's 1533-position model. The record is from RNAcentral.